Long non-coding RNA from Spinacia oleracea (spinach), 871 nucleotides. RefSeq lists it as uncharacterized. The record is from RefSeq and is a predicted model, not a curated record. The transcript is spliced from 4 exons. NCBI's taxonomy places the organism in Eukaryota, Viridiplantae, Streptophyta, Magnoliopsida, Caryophyllales, Amaranthaceae.
UCUAGGGAAGUGGGAAUAUUUAUAGUACUAGGUUUUUGGGGGAAUGACCUAAUAUUCCCCUUACAUGAUUGGCUGGGGAAUGGGAGGAGGACACGUGUCCUUUCUCCUUACAAUUCUCUGGCCUCUUUUGGCAAUAGUGGGCUGUUUGGGCCUAUUGUGCUUAGUCGUUCACUUGGGAUACAUACUAAUUAAGCCCCUUUCCAGGUAUAGGUUUUAUACAUACAUUUAUACACACUUAAAUACAUACACUGUAGAUACCUAGAUUAAUACCCAUGCCUCGGAGUAGACUUCGUAUGAUUUCUGCUUUAGGGGGCGCAAUACGUGCCAUGUGUCACGUCCUCAUUGGUACACGAAGGCACGGUAAUUUUGCCCACAACAUUUGCCCCUCAAGAAGGGCAUUUCUGGAAACACAUUCCGGAGCUUUCAUAGGCGAUUUCCGGCGUGUUCCUACCACCAUCAGGCGAUUUCCGGCCACCAGGAGACUCAUCCUUUUCCUCGUCACACUCAUCCCGUUCUUCGCGAAACUCAUCUCGUUCUUCGCGAAACUCAUCCUGUUCUUCACCAAGUACUUCGCAGAUCUUUCAAGAGGAAGGAAUGAGCAAGCUAUCGGCGGCGGAUAUUGGGAAGGGCGAUAUGACCGACUGGAUGGCGGACAUCUAUGAGGCCAAGAUGCAGAAAGCCAAGGCCGAGUUGGAGGAGAAGCAAGCUAAGGACGCGGCUAGGGCGUCAGGGAAGAAGAAGGGGACGACUCUGUCCCAGCUGAAGAAGAGAGCUGUGCCGGCUGGCUCGGAGACUCCGAGUACCUUCAAGAAGCCAAAACCUCUACCUCGCCGUCUCGUGAAGAAAGACGAGUCGAAGGUUGCUGAGGGGG